Molecule: ribosomal RNA, 427 nt
Filed under: uncultured bacterium
Lineage: Bacteria
Description: bacterial SSU rRNA
Rfam family: Bacterial small subunit ribosomal RNA
Source: RNAcentral
UGGGGAAUUUUGGACAAUGGGCGCAAGCCUGAUCCAGCCAUUCCGCGUGCAGGACGAAGGCCUUCGGGUUGUAAACUGCUUUUGUACGGAACGAAAAGGCUCUGGCUAAUACCUGGGGCUCAUGACGGUACCGUAAGAAUAAGCACCGGCUAACUACAUGCCAGCAGCCGCGGUAAUACGUAGGGUGCAAGCGUUAAUCGGAAUUACUGGGCGUAAAGCGUGCGCAGGCGGUUAUGUAAGACAGAGGUGAAAUCCCCGGGCUCAACCUGGGAACUGCCUUUGUGACUGCAUAGCUGGAGUACGGCAGAGGGGGAUGGAAUUCCGCGUGUAGCAGUGAAAUGCGUAGAUAUGCGGAGGAACACCGAUGGCGAAGGCAAUCCCCUGGGCCUGUACUGACGCUCAUGCACGAAAGCGUGGGGAGCAAACA